RNAcentral lists this non-coding RNA (49 nucleotides) under Schistosoma mansoni. Lineage: Eukaryota; Metazoa; Platyhelminthes; Trematoda; Strigeidida; Schistosomatidae. The record is from RNAcentral.
AUCCAACUGACGAGUCCCGGAAUAGGACGAAACGCUUGUCAAACUGUAU